Molecule: long non-coding RNA, 820 nt
Organism: Brachypodium distachyon (stiff brome)
Lineage: Eukaryota; Viridiplantae; Streptophyta; Magnoliopsida; Poales; Poaceae
Exons: 2
Source: RefSeq, a predicted model, not a curated record
CCGGAUUCAGUCGGCUCCAUCCAGAGAAAACAGAAGCGAACUUGCAGACCAAUCCGGCGUCGACCCACCAAGCCGCGUUUUCUCCCCGCUUUGUCCACCCCAGAAUUCUUCAAAUUGGCCUGAAUCGUCGGUUCCUCCCACAAAUUGAUCCCUCCAUCAGCAUCCUCACGGCAUUGCAACCCUGGUUAUGCCCUUCCUUCCCUCGAGUUCCUGCGGAACCUUUGUUUCACCUAGCGGGCAUUUCGUCGAACAUGUGUCGAGGAACUCGCUGCCCGAGUUGGGAGGUGCAUGGGUGCGGAGAUGGAGGAGAAAUGGUGGCCAAUUGACUCAUGGAUAUGAAGGGAGGGAAAGAGAGUGUGGGGGACUCCGGGCAGAGGCCGGAUGCCUGGUGCCGGCGAGCGCAAAUCGGGCGACGAGACGGCAGCGCCGGAACCAGUGACCAAGUCGAGCCGGGAGUAGAAGUUCAGUAUUAUCGAUGUAUCUCACUCGUGGGUACAGUGAGUGCAGCAGUUUUUGUUUGGAACUUCAGAUGAACUUCAGUUUUUUGUUUUUGUGCUGGGCUAAACAAAAACUUCGGCUGCAUUAAUCGGCAAGGUUUCUUCAAUCUGGUCUGUACUAAAACUGUAUAUUGGGCUACAAGCAGUAAUUCAGUUCUUGAGGCUAGGCCAGGAAAAAGUAACGGUGAGUUGGUAGCAUUUUUCGGUCUACAUGUCUUGCUGUUAUAUUUUGUUAUAUUCUUCUGAUGCUGAUGCUUUCUGUUAUAUUUCCUUUUUCUCUAAUAAACUUGCUGUUAUAUAUAGUUAUAUUCUUCUGAACCAAA